GGGGAGGUGCCAGAGUGGACGAUCGGGGCCGCCUGCUAAGUGGUUGUCGGAGUAAAAUCCGACCCAGGGUUCGAAUCCCUGCCUCUCCG
Molecule: transfer RNA, 89 nt
Filed under: Anaerolineaceae bacterium
Lineage: Bacteria; Bacillati; Chloroflexota; Anaerolineae; Anaerolineales; Anaerolineaceae
Also listed under: 2 other names
Description: tRNA-Ser
Rfam family: tRNA
About the family: Transfer RNA (tRNA) molecules are approximately 80 nucleotides in length.
Source: RNAcentral